RNAcentral lists this ribosomal RNA (508 nucleotides) under uncultured bacterium. RNAcentral's name for it is "bacterial SSU rRNA". It matches the Rfam family "Bacterial small subunit ribosomal RNA", at positions 28 to 526 of the family's 1533-position model. The record is from RNAcentral.
GAUGAACGCUAGCUACAGGCUUAACACAUGCAAGUCGAGGGGCAUCAUGUCGGUUGCUUGCAACCGAUGAUGGCGACCGGCGCACGGGUGAGUAACGCGUAUCCAACCUUCCCCUUAGUAGGGCAUAGCCCGUAGAAAUGCGGAUUAACACCCUAUGUUCUUCAUGGAUGGCAUCUGACGUGAAGCAAAGUUUACGCUAAGGGAUGGGGAUGCGUCUGAGUAGGUUGCAGGCGGGGUAACGGCCCACCUGGCCGACGAUCAGUAGGGGUUCUGAGAGGAAGGUCCCCCACAUUGGAACUGAGACACGGUCCAAACUCCUACGGGAGGCAGCAGUGAGGAAUAUUGGUCAAUGGGCGAGAGCCUGAACCAGCCAAGUAGCGUGCAGGAAGACGGCCCUAUGGGUUGUAAACUGCUUUUAUACAGGGAUAAAGUCGGGGACGCGUUCCCCGUUUGCAGGUACUGUAUGAAUAAGGACCGGCUAAUUCCGUGCCAGCCGCCGCGGUAAAAC